This 73-nucleotide transfer RNA is filed under the name Streptomyces radiopugnans. RNAcentral describes it as "tRNA-Gly". It matches the Rfam family "tRNA". From Rfam's summary of the family: Transfer RNA (tRNA) molecules are approximately 80 nucleotides in length. Lineage: Bacteria; Bacillati; Actinomycetota; Actinomycetes; Kitasatosporales; Streptomycetaceae. The record is from RNAcentral.
GGUCCCGUAGCGCAGCGGCAGACGCGCCCGCAUGCCAUGCGGGAGGACGUCGGUUCGAAUCCGGCCGGGGCCA